RNAcentral lists this long non-coding RNA (234 nucleotides) under Vigna radiata. RNAcentral's name for it is "long non-coding RNA (VRAD_LNC013180)". Lineage: Eukaryota; Viridiplantae; Streptophyta; Magnoliopsida; Fabales; Fabaceae. The record is from RNAcentral.
GAUGAAUGUGCAGAGGUCUUUCGCGAGGAGUAUGGUGGCUGGUUCUGCAACGGUUUUUGCGGUGUUGAUGACUGCGAGGAAGAAGAGCGAGGGAGAUGAUGCGAAUCGCAGGUCUGUGGCGGCGAUUUCUGGGUUUUCUGGUACAGGUCCGGUGGCUUGCUGAGGAGAUGGUCGUCGCUGCGGCGGCUAGGGUGCGGAUUGGACGCUUGUUGCGUUGAUGGUUGCUGGUGAUGG